Molecule: long non-coding RNA, 6763 nt
Filed under: Daucus carota (carrot)
Lineage: Eukaryota; Viridiplantae; Streptophyta; Magnoliopsida; Apiales; Apiaceae
Description: long non-coding RNA (DCAR_LNC002494)
Source: RNAcentral
UCUUCUAGUUGAUCAUAGUUUCUUCGGGAAGUUGUAGGUCUUUUUGAGAAAGUUGGUUGCCUGUUUAUCAUUCCGAUAACAUAAAACACGUAAAUUUGUAUUGGCUUCUGUAGGUUGAUAGGUCCAUUAUUUUGCACAUUUUAACUACCUAUUUAUUGCUUGUUUUCGUAUUUUUAUUAGUUAAUUGUUUUGUUUUCAGGAAAUUUUAGAGAAAUCAAGAAUUCAAGAGAAAAAGGAACAAAAAGGUGCAAGAAGGGAAAAAGAGGAAGAAAAAGAAAAGAAGAAGAAGAAAAAGAAAAGAAGAAAAAGAAAAAGAAAAAUGGAAAAGAAAAUCAAGACACAAAGACCCUUCUACCCCUAAAACCCUAAUCUUGGCCUAUAUAAACAUCAUUUUCUCUCAUUAGCCACCAUCUUAGUCUUUACCCUAGUUUUACCUAGUUGUUAGUAGCCUCCUUCAUCACUUUCUAGCUUUCUUUUUCAAAUUGUAAUCUCUCAAAUAUUGUAAACACUUUCUUGUUUAAUAUAAUUUCAAGUUUAGUUUCUUCAUCUCCUACAUCUUUACCUUGUUGAAAUUUAUGGCUAUGAUCUAUUUUCUUUCCAACAAGUGGAUAAAGUGGCAUGUAUGCCAACCACUUGUGGGUUGAAAGAGCCUUUAUUUUAUGUUUUAGUUUACAUUUUGAUAUUUAGAUUAAGCCCCUUUUAAAUCUCAAUUUUAUUAGUGGGUUUAAUGAUUUAGUAUUUUUGUUUUUGAUUUUGGUUUGUAGUUUGAUGGGGUUUUGUUAGAAACAUGGUAGAUAAGCUAGUUUUGAAGUUUUGUUGGAUUUAGAGUUAGUUUGAUAUGAUUUGGUAGUGUUCUUGUUCUUGGUUUUGGUAUUUUUGAGGGCUUUUUGGUGUAAAUUUUAGUUUAUGAUUUUGACUUGAGGUUAGUGGGUUUGUGUUUGAAAUAUUAUGUUUAGGUUAGAUUUAAAGUUUGGUGUAUUUUGGAGUUGUUUUGGCUUGAUUUUGGUCUUGUUUUGGUGAGAAAUGGGUAGUUUAGGAGCUAUUUAGUGUAGAAUUUAUUGUUGAAUUUGAUUUAGAGGUUAGUGGGGUUUGAUUUGUUAUAUUUGGAAUGGCUAGAUUUUCCGGUUAAAUUGAUUUUCCGGUAAGAUUUAGACUAUUCCGGGGACCUCCAUGUAUUCCGGCGAUGGUUCGUUAGACUGAUAUGUUUCUGCGAUUGUUUAGUAUAUACGUUGAUCUUCAUGUUUUGGUUCAGUGGAUUACGUGUUUAAUUUGUGUCAAUUUUUCUUUUCUUUUAUUUUUAUUUUUUAUUUUUCCGUUUCUUUUAUAUUAAGUUUGUUUUACAUGGCCAGUGUAUCUGCUUGUUCUGUUCACAAAUCACACACUCCUCUCCCUUUUAUUUGACACGCUCAGACCACGGACCAGUUCUCUGUCUUAUGUUUUAAAUUAAUUCUGUUCGUUUGUUAUUCUUUAUAUUUUCUUUUUAAAUUUUCUUUUGCAUUUCUAUAUUGAUUUUGAUAAGUGAUUAAUUUGUUUACUUUUUUUUAUUUGAGAAAUGUUUAAUAUUAAUUAGUAAAAUCAAUAUUCUCCUCAAAAUUAAUUUGGUCUAAUUUGAUUAAGUUAAAAAUUAAGUUUUCGCGAAAAUAACUUUAGUCCUUGGAACGAAUCUUAUAUUACUAAAACGGGAUCGUGCACUUGCGAUUAAUUUUAAAAUCAUAUUUUGAGCACAUCAUAGGUUUCCACUGACCAGAUGUUGGAGGCAAGGUGUUGAGACACCUACAUAAGCGGGAAACAUGCAUAGUAGUUAUCGGCAGUAUUUAGUAGUUAAUAGUUAUCUUAUCUUAACAUGUUCUGGUCUUAUUAGUGGGAUUACUUGUGUUCGUGGUAGCUAUAGUUUAGGUGUCACGAUGUAUCCUCUAUUCUCUAUCCUGUAUAUAAAUUUGCAGAACUAAUAUAAUCUGUGUGAAGUGUUUUAUCUCUUCAAGCACACCUCUCUUGUCACUGUUGAUAAAUUCUAACUUGGUAUCAGAGCCUUAUGGCCAACGCUAAUAUUCAAACAAAUCAGCCCUUAUAUUCUCUCGGUGGAAUGCUUUCUCAACCACCAUCAGUAAAGUUAGAUAAUGACAAUUUCUUGCUUUGGCAAAAUAUGGUAUUGCCACUUCUGAGAGGUCAUAAGCUUGAAGGUUUUCUAACUGGUGAAAUACCAUGUCCAAACGAAUUUAUUGUUUCCACCACAACAACUUCUGCUUCAAUUGUAUCUGGAACACCAUCACCACCAAAAAAAGAUCCAAAUCCUGAUUAUGAUGUUUGGAUCUCAAAAGACCAACUUCUGUUAGGUUGGUUAUAUAAUUCUAUUCAGCCACACGUUGCGGCUAGAUUGAUGGGUUUUACAACUUCGAAGGAUCUGUGGGAAGGCAUAAAACAAUAUUUUGGCAUGCAAAACAAAUCUCGUAUCAUUUUCCUGACAGGAGAGUUGCAACAAGCCAGGAAAGGCACAAUGAAGAUCGCUGAAUAUUUGAACUCAGUGAAGUCUAUUGCUGACAAUUUGGCUUUGGCAGGAAAGCCAAUUGAUAGUUCUGAUCUUGUAACUCAGGUUCUUGCAGGACUCGAUGAAGAAUAUACACCAAUUGUUGUGCAAAUCAGCGGAAGAGAAUCAAUCUCUUGGGUCGAGCUACAAUCUACUUUGAUGACUUAUGAAAGUCGCCUAGAGCAAUUAAAUGCAACACGUUUAAGCUUGGCUGGAAUGGAAGUAUCACGACCAACUGCAGCAUUUGCAAAUAAGGUCAAUCCAAAUGCUCGCAAUAGUAAUUCGACUGGCUUGAAUUACAAGAGUCAUAGAGGCGGAGCACAAGGAAGAGGAAAUUUCAGGAAUGGUAAUACCAGAGGGAGAAACCGUGGAGGAAGAAGUUCAAACUCCAAAUUAAUGUGUCAAAUUUGUGGAAAACCUGGACAUACAGCUCCCUACUGUUGGAAUAGAUAUGAUGAGGAUUUCAUGGGCACCUCCCCAGACACAAGUAAAGGAAAGCAAGAAAGCUCAUCGAUUGCAUUUACAGCUGCUAUAGGGUCAGAAGUUGAUCAAAGCUGGUUUAUGGAUAGUGGGGCAAGCAAUCAUGUUACAAACGAUGAAACUCAGUUAUCGAAUGCAGGUAAAUAUUUCGGUAGAAAACUCUGAUGGUUGGAAAUGGAUCAAAACUUUGUAUUGCACAUACCGGAAAAAUACUUGUUCCAUCCUUGGAUCACAAGGUGUUGCAAUUAAAAAAUGUUCUUCAUGUGCCUUGCAUUAAGAAAAAUUUGCUCAGUGUCUCUCAAUUAGCUUUUGAUAACAAUGUCUUUACUGAGUUUCACUCUAAUUGUUGCUUUGUUAAGGACAAGGAAACGGGACAGGUUCUUCUUCAAGGGACGCUUAAAGAUGGUCUGUAUCAGUUAAAGCUUGCAGAUAGAUUUAGAAGCUCAAAGUCAAUGUUUAGUCAUUCUAAUGUUCCAAUUGCUCGAGAAAAUAAUUCUUCUCAUGUCGCACUUGAGUCUAGUGUCGUUGAUUCUCGAAAAGAGUUGUUUCAUAGAAGAUUUGGUCACCCAUCAAAUAGAAUUUUAUCAACAAUUCUAAAGUCUUGUAAUCAGUCCAUGUUCUUCAAUGAAAAUCAAUUUUUUUGUGAAGCUUGUCAGUAUGGAAAAUCUCAUUCUUUACCGUUUCCCACAUCUGAAUAUCAUGCACAAGAACCACUUCACUUGAUCCAUACAGACUUAUGGGGUCCGGCACCUGUCCAAUCUUGUGAUGGAUACAAAUAUUAUAUCCAUUUUUUAGAUGAUUAUAGCAGGCAUAUUUAUCCUUUAAAAACCAAAGGUGAUGCACUUGAUGUGUUUAUCAAAUUCAAAAGGCUGGUUGAGAACAGGUUCAACAAAAGGAUAAAAAUUGUUCAAUCUGAUUGGGGAGGAGAAUAUAGAAGCUUCAGUAAAGUGUUGGAAAAGUGUGGCAUUGAAUUUCGACACUCUUGUCCACAUACUUCUUCGCAAAAUGGACGAGCCGAAAGAAAACAUCGACAUAUUGUCGAAACUGGCCUCACUCUUCUAGCUCAAGCAAAAAUGCCUCUGAAAUAUUGGUGGUAUGCUUUUCAAACUUCUGUGUACCUAAUAAACUGUAUGCCUACUCCUGUUCUUAAUCUAAAAUCCCCCAUUCAGACUCUUUACAACCAGAAGCCAAAUUAUCAAUUACUCAAAGUCUUUGGUUGUGCAUGUUUUCCUUGUCUCAGACCAUAUCACAAAACUAAAUUUCAGUUUCAUACGAUAAAAUGUGUGUUUCUCGGAUACAGUCCAGGUCACAAGGGAUAUCUUUGUUUGAGUCCUACGGGUAGAGUUUAUGUGUCCAGGAGCGUUAUUUUUAAUGAGAAUAAUUUUCCUUUUGCACAUACAAAAUUUCUCACCAAUAAUUGGCAUCAAUCUGAACACUCUGUUGUCAACUCGUGUUCAUCAUAUUCUAUACUACCUUUAUCUCCCUUAAAUUCCACAGAUGCGAUAACUGAUACAAGACCUCAACAAGCAUUUUUUGAAGGCGGGUCGGUACCUUCUGAGUCUGAAAACUUGCAACAACCAAGUGAUGAAUCUUUGGCUCAACAUGAUCACAACACUCCAUCAGCGGCAAAUUCAUCUGCUCAAGAAUUCUCUCCAAUAGAUUUGGAAGAACACAUAGAGUCUUCUCAUUCAGUUGAUGUGUCUGCAAGUUCAAGAACAGGCAAAGCUCAUGCAGAAAGUCAUAGCAUGGUUACACGAGGUAAAGCUGGGAUUUUUAAACCGAAAGCUUAUAUUACCAAUGUUUGUCAUGAACCUGCUACAGUACAGGAGGCUCUUGCAAAUGAACACUGGCACAAAGCAAUGCAUGAAGAGAUGGCAGCCCUCACCAAAAACCAUACAUGGCAACUUGUUCCAUGGCGACCAGAUAUGAAUGUGGUGGAAAAUAAAUGGGUGUUCCGUAUUAAAAGAAAAGCUGAUGGAUCUAUCGAUAGAUUUAAAGCACGUCUCGUGGCGAAGGGAUAUUUACAAACUCCAGGAGUGGAUUUCACUGAAACCUACAGUCCAGUUAUUAAAGCCUCUACAGUUCGUAUCAUCCUUACCAUAGCCAUUUCAAAGAAUUGGAAAAUCAGGCAACUUGAUGUUAACAAUGCAUUUUUGAAUGGGAAGCUUCAUGAAACAGUGUAUAUGGCUCAACCGGAAGGAUUUGUUGAUGCAAACAAGCCUGGAUAUGUUUGUAAACUUGAGAAAGCAAUUUAUGGAUUAAGACAAGCACCUCGUACCUGGAGUGAUGAAUUAAGAGAGACGUUACAACGCUGGAAUUUUAUUCAGUCUCAGUGUGAUUCAUCUUUGUUCUUUUUGCAGGCCAGGAACAAAAUAAUAUUUGUUCUUAUCUACGUGGACGACAUCAUUGUUACAGGGAAUGAUGAUUCUUUGUUACAAAAAUUUAUUCAGCAAUUAAAUCGCAUGUUCUCCCUGAAAGAUCUUGGUGAUCUUCAUCACUUUCUUGGUAUUGAGGUCCAUCGAGAUCAUACCGGUCUGUUUCUUAGUCAAACCCAGUACAUACGUGAUAUUCUUUUCAAGUUUGGUAUGUCACAGUGUAAGCCAUGUCCUACACCCAUGAGUACUGGUAGAAGUAUCAGUCUUUCUAAUGGUACACCAAUGCAUGAUCCUACUGUGUAUCGAAGUGCUGUUGGAGCUCUCCAAUAUUUACUUCAUACAAGACCUGAUAUUGCUUUUGUAGUGAACAAACUCAGUCAAUUCUCACACACACCAACUGAUGUGCAUUGGCAACUCCUCAAGCGUGUAUUCCGAUAUUUGCAAGGUACAUCUCAGUUUGGUUUAUACAUUCAGGGCAAUGAAAGGCUUAAUGUUACCGGUUUCUCUGAUGCUGAUUGGGCUUCAUGCCCUGAUGAUCGUCGAUCAGUAGGUUCUUAUUGUGUAUAUUUAGGUGACACUUUAGUCUCCUGGUCAUCCAAGAAACAAGGUGUUGUUGCUCGCUCCAGCACGGAGGCUGAAUAUCGCGCUCUUGCUAAUGUUGCGGCAGAGAUUACUUGGAUUCAGUCAUUGUUCAAAGAAAUCGGAGUUCCCUGUAGUAGUACACCCAUUACUUGGUGCGAUAACAUGAGUGCUAAUGCUCUUGCUUCUAAUCCAGUAUAUCAUGCACGGACAAAACACAUAGAGAUUGAUGUUCAUUUUAUUCGCAGUAAGGUGCUUAACAAACAACUUGAAGUUCGGUACAUUCCUUCUUAUGAUCAGGUUGCUGACAUGCUCACUAAGCCUCUUACACAUUCUCGAUUUCUUUUCUUGCGUGACAAACUCAAUGUCAGUCAGGUUCCCUUGAGUUUGAGGGGGGAUGUUGAGACACCUACAUAAGCGGGAAACAUGCAUAGUAGUUAUCGGCAGUAUUGAGUAGUUAGUAGUUAUCUUAUCUUAACAUGUUCUGGUUCUAUUACUGCUAUUACUUGUGUUAGUGGUAGCUAUAGUUUAGGUGUCACGAUGUAUCCUCUAUUCUCUAUCCUGUAUAUAAACUUGCAGAACUAAUAUAAUCUGUGUGAAGUGUUUUAUCUCUUCAAGCACACCUCUCUUGUCACUGUUGAUAAAUUCUAACUCAAGGGAAGGCUAGAACUAGCAGACGGGCCAUACUCGUUUGAUAUUGAAGCUCUGAACUGCUCGAUGAGGCUCUGAGUGUCCAUAUGGAACAGGGGAAGUAUACGUUUCACAAUGAGUGCAAAUCUGUUUAUUAAUUCAGGUGGUAAUUCAU